CCUACGGGGGGCAGCAGUGGGGAAUAUUGCACAAUGGGGGAAACCCUGAUGCAGCGACGCCGCGUGAGUGAAGAAGGAAUUCGGUAUGUAAAGCUCUAGCAGCAGGGAAGAAAAUGACGGUACCUGAGUAAGAAGCCGCGGCGCCCUACGUCCCAGCAGCCGCGGUAAUACGUAGGGGGCAAGCGUUAUCCGGAUUUACUGGGUGUACAGGGAGCGUAGACGGCAGUGCAAGUCUGGAUUGAAAGCCGGGGGCUCAACCCCCGGACUGCUCGGGAAACUGUACGGCUGGAGUGCAGGAGAGGUAAGUGGAAUUCCUAGUGUAGCGGUGAAAUGCGUAGAUAUUCGGAGGAACAUCAGUGGCGAAGGCGGCUUACUGGACUGUAACUGACGUUGAGGCUCGAAAGCGUGGGGAGCAAACAGGAUUAGAUACCCCGGUAGUC
RNAcentral lists this ribosomal RNA (440 nucleotides) under uncultured bacterium. RNAcentral describes it as "partial 16S ribosomal RNA". It matches the Rfam family "Bacterial small subunit ribosomal RNA", at positions 338 to 795 of the family's 1533-position model. The record is from RNAcentral.